AGCAAGGAGAGGCGGGGCGAGUUGCACUGAGCCACCAAUACCAGACAUUCACGGCAUGGCAUCAAAACGAACCUAUUCAGCUGGUUCAGAAAAAAGAAAAAAAAGAAAAACUUGUUGAAGAAAAACACUCACAGGAUAAAGGAGCAAUUCUGAAAUAUUUUGGAGCCAUGGACCAGGAAGCAGCACAGCUGCCUUCAGCACCAACGGACCAGAAUGUUUAAGUUUAAAAAAGUUUUACAAUUUAAAAUAAACAUUUUUGAGGAACACUG
This is a long non-coding RNA of Acanthopagrus latus (yellowfin seabream), 269 nucleotides long. RefSeq lists it as uncharacterized. The record is from RefSeq and is a predicted model, not a curated record. NCBI's taxonomy places the organism in Eukaryota, Metazoa, Chordata, Actinopteri, Spariformes, Sparidae. The transcript is spliced from 2 exons.